This 11111-nucleotide long non-coding RNA is filed under the name Arabidopsis lyrata. RNAcentral describes it as "long non-coding RNA (ALYR_LNC001860)". Lineage: Eukaryota; Viridiplantae; Streptophyta; Magnoliopsida; Brassicales; Brassicaceae. The record is from RNAcentral.
CUCCCUCACGUCUACCGCCGCCGCCACCUCCGUAGCUACCACCGCCACCUCCGUAUCCACCACCACCUCCGCUGCGGUAUCCACCGCCACCACCUCCACGGCCGCCUCCUCCGCCGCCGCUUCCUCGUGACUGAGCCUCGUUAACAGUGAUGCUACGUCCAUCGAGCUCUUGUCCGUUCAUUCCCUCAAUCGCAUCCUUCAUGGAUUUCUCAUCCUUGAAGGUCACGAAUCCGAAUCCCCUUGAUCUUCCAGUCUCACGAUCGUUAAUGAUCUGUUAUCCAAAAGCCAAAAAAAAACCAGAUCAGCAAAACAAUCCAACAAAGCUGAACAAAAUCAUUAGAUCUACUUCAAAAAAAAACACAAAAUUCCGAUCGAUCUCCGGGCUCACAGAAGCAGGAAGAUGAACGUACCGAUUUUGGGAAAAACAAGUAACAGUAACAGUAGUAACAAAGAACGAAUAGUAGUAACAGAGUAACAGUAAUCGAAUCAAGUAACAGAGAAACACAAGAUCGGAACAGAUCCGUCGAGGAUGAGAUCAUCGAAAUCACUCGGAGUCCGAUCUCGGCGUGUAACAGACCUUGGAAUCAACAACGUCGCCGUAUUGAGAGAAGGCAGUUUCAAGAGCUCUGUCAUCAGUGGCCCAAGCUAGACCUCCAACGAAGCACCGAUACUCAACAUCUGCGGACGCCAUUGAAAUUUGAGAAGAAGAUCUAGGGUUUACAGUGAGAGAAGUGAGCAGAGAGAUUUGUGAAGAAUGAAGAAGACGAAGUCUCGUUUUUAUAAGGGGGCUGAGAUAUUAACCAAGGUUUAGAUAUUUUUUAGGUUUAGAGUCGGUUUUGGUGAAUUUUGGUUUAACUAUGGUUAAAUGUGUGGUUAAAAUUCGUAGUGGUUGGGGACAUAUCACGUGACACUUUUUGGUUUAAUGCGCAAUUGGAAAGACGACGAUGCGAGAAAGGAUAUUUUUCUUUGUCCCAAGAAAAAAUAUCUCAGUGGAGCAAAAAAAUAUCUCGUAUGCCAAAUGACAUCUUUAUCCCUUAGCUCUAAAUUUGAAAUAACGUGGUGAUUGGUACUGGGCCGGAACAAUUGGGCUACUAUAAUUCGGCUAGUAGUAUAAUUGGGCCGCAAUAAUUGGGCAGAAAAAUUAAAUGCAAAACAUUAAUUUCGGAAAAAGAUAGUGUUGACAGUGGGAUUUGAACCCACGCCCUUUCGGACCAGAACCUUAAUCUGGCGCCUUAGACCAACUCGGCCAUAUCAACUUUGAUGCAAUGUAAUCGCGACUAUAAAAUUAGAUACUUAUAAAAUACAUGUAGUUCAUUCGUUUUAACUUUAACGAUAAGCAACAUUAAAAAAAGUGAAUUAAGGAGAAUAAAAAAUAAAGGAAAUCUGAUUAACCGUUUCUCUCCCAAAGCGAUCAAGAAGGCGACUUUUAACAAAAACAACUUUUCAUUAUCUUCUCCGGCCGGCGUCGACUCCGGCGUCGGCCGUACUUUCUUUUCUAUUUUUUGUUUCGUUUGUAGUUUUAAGUUUCUAAAUAAAAUCUCAAUCAGAGACGUGUUUACUUGUGUGAUCAUCACCAAAUCACCAAUUACUAUUGCUUGGCUUCUUCCCGUAGACGAAAUGGCUUCAUGUGGCAAAGUAAGAGAUGGUUUUUCGGUGAUGGGGUUGUCUGGUAGCGUAGGACAUGGCGAUCCGGAUAUGAUGAUGCCUUUGUUAACAAAUCCAUGGUUGGGUUUGUCUCAAUUCUGGGUCUCCACAUUGAUAGCCGAUGCCACUUCGAUUCUCGCUCUCAGGGUUUUCUUUCCUCUUCACAGAGGCGUAAUUGUCCGUGCGAUGAUGAUAUGGUUCAUUCACGGUGUUUUUUCGGGUAUGCCCGACCUUCUCGGUUUGGUGACAAUAGUUGCCGACGGCUUCUUAAUGCAAAUUUGCGGCCCUCGACGCAUAUGGAAUCCCGGAAUCACAUCGGAGACAUUUGUCGUGAAGCUCUUCAACGACGUCUUUGGUUUGAGAUGUAUAAUAGGAUGGGAUUACACUAGUACCAAGCCAAACUUUCUAAUGUGCAUUAUGACACCGAUACGGACUAAUUGGUAUUGGAUUGUCGGGAUUUCAAAACUUAUUCUAGGAACAACGGGCUUUUUACAUGUGAUGUGGAGUUUCGAACAAAGAAUGCCAAUAGGGCAUACAUAUCACAUUCGAGUAGGGUGGCUUAUGAAGAAGGAACAUAAUAUGUUUAUCAUGUUAGCGAGUAAGGCUUAUCGAAAGGAAGCAUCGUCAAAUUCACUUUUUCACUUUCGUCAUCUUCAAUAUAUGGCACAUAAUUCUGCUUAUGUAAUAAAUUGUUUUAUGAAGUUUUGUAAUGGUUUUGUACUUGUUGUAAUACCAAUUGUUUAAUGAAAGUUUUUAGAAGGAAACAAAAAAAUAAGGAGAAUAAAAAAUAAAGGAUAAUGUAUUGGGAAGAGAAUUAAGGAGAAUAAAAAAUAAAGGAUAAUGUAUUGUGAAGAGAAUUAAGGAGAAUAAAAAAUGAUUCUUUCGAAUACAAAUUUUCUUUUUUGGAUAUUUUUUUUUUAACUUCUGAAACUUGCAUUAAAUAGUAUAAGGUUGGUACAGAUUUUUUUUUUUUUGCUAAGAGAGUAAAUAUCAAUAGAUGAAAGUUUUGGUGUUACAAUAUAUAAGACCUAGAAGCAUGAACCUUGCCAAAAAAAAGUUAAAAAACAAGGAUACAUUAAAGAGUACACAAUAACAAUUAAGGAAAGAAACCGAUCCUUAGCUGAGCCAUAAGGCCAUGAGGUUGGUACAGUCGUACAGAUAUGGAAUCAACCAAAUAGGAGUUUUAUGGAAGUUAACCAGUAAAUGAGAAUUUAUUUACUCGGUGAAAUGAAAUUAUGUUUCCUUAUAAAUAGUUAAAUACACACUACGGCUUCUUUAAAAAAAUUCAAUUCCGUUAAUUCUCUCUUCUGACUUCAUACGAUGGUUGUAAUCUCUGAAAUUUCCGACGACGGCUCUAAUGGCGGCGAUCAUCAAAAAAAGAAACCUAAGGAAGAAGAGAAUCGAAACAAGAAACUGAAAGAAAAGGUUAAGGUGUCGCUACCAAUUCCAGAAGAACUCAUCCUACGUUGCUUCCUACUCGUUCGGAGAUGCCACCACCCGUCGCUUCCUUCGUCUCAUGCCAAAGCUCUACGACGAUCGCUUGCGUCUCGGCUACACCGAAAGCGUUCUUUAUGCCUGUAAUAGGAUAAACCGGUAACCGGUUUAUCCUAUUACAAUGCCUAUAUCGUACUUCUUCCUUCUGAUGAAAACCCUAGCUGGUACAUUCUCCAUCGUAAACCCUAUCGAAACUUGCCGAACACGACUUCUUUAAGAUUGUGCAAACUCGAUAUACUCCCUUUCCCUCCCAUGCUUUGGGGAUUUGUUGUGGUCUCAAUCGGUUCGGAUAUCUGAGUCGGCGAGGAACGCUCAUCGGAUAUGACUCUCAUCGAUUGCAAAUCUCACAAGUAUCGCUCGCUACCAAGAAUGAAGGUGGCUCGCUGUCUUGCAGCCGCAGGUGUAAUUGACGGAAAGAUAUACGUAAUUGGAGGUUGCUUAACAACACGAUCUUCGGAUUUUAUAGAAGUGUUCGAUGUAAAGACUCAGAUAUGGAGUGGAACGGUGAAGCCGAUUGAGAUACUACCUAGUGUGAGUAGAUAUUUUGAGGCAUGUGCGGUGAUAGAGGAGAAGAUUUACCUUAAGGGUGAUCACCAUUGUUUUGUUUACGAACCCAAAGAAAGUAAAUGGAUGCGUUUGAAAUUCCUUGAGUUGAAUCUUCUGUUCAAUGAAUCGUCUUGUGUGAUAGGUGAUAAGUUGUUUCUCAUUCAUGGAGGAAGGGAUUUUUUUGGGAUCCAAUAGUUGUGUGUGAUCUAAAGAAGAAGGAAGUGAGACCCUUGAAGGGUUUACAAGGGUUUCCGGAUAAUAUAAACAUGGCGGCGUCUAAAAUGGCGAAUUUUGGUGGAAGGUUGGUGAUUUUGGGAUGUAAUCAGCGUCAGACUUUAACUAGGUAUGAAGAAAAAAAAGAGGUUUGGUGCGUAGAGAUUGAAUUGGAAGAAAGGGAAGAAGGAGGUGAGAUUUGGGGGAAGGUUGAAUCAGUCGAUGUUGUGCUUACUACAAGAAAACAAGGCUCUUUCCAACGGAUUUUCUGACAGCAAAAAAAUGGUCGGAAAUUUUUGACGGUUUACCGAUACUAUUCUGUCGGCUUUCCGACGACAGUCCUCCCGUCGCAAAUCCGUCGCAAAUUUCCGACGGCUUUUUUGUGGUCGAAAAUUCGUCAGUGAUUUCCGACGACAUUCCGAUCAAAUUAAAUUCGGCGACGUAUUUCCGACGGUUUUCCAACCAAAAUAUAUUCGUUAUGAUCCGUCGGAAAUCCGUCGGGAGGCGAGGUUAUUUUCCGACGGAUUUCCGAUCACAAUAUUAUAAUCCGUUGGAAAUCCGUCGGGAUGCUAAAGCUAUUUUUCGGUGGAAAUUAUGAUCAAAAUAUACCCGUAAAUAUAGAUCAAAAUAAGCGGAUCUCCGUUUUAUAGCCGUUCGAAAAUUUUAAAAUUCUUCGGUAUCCGUCGGAAAUCCAUCAGAUAUUUCCAACGGCUUUCCAACGAACUAUAAGCAACGUGCCAUAUUAAUUAUUAAUUUCGUAUCAUGUUCGUCCGAUUAAUAGUUACCGUCGGAAAUUGGUCGGGCAUUUCUGACGAUUUUCCGACCAGUCAGGCUUUAGGGUAAUGAAAUUGUUCAAUUUCAUUGCAAAUUUGUGAAAAAAUUAGAAAUAAACUUCAUGUUUGUUGAAUGAGAAACUAAUAAAUCCAAGAAAAUUUUGAUUUUUCAUCAAUUUCUAUUUUUGCAAAAGAAACACAUAAGUCUUUUAAAACUUCAAGUGUUAAGUGUAGUGUAUUCUAUUGGUCCACUAGUAUAUUAGUGUUGUGUUUAACAUUUGAAGUACUAAACUAUGUAGUAAACUUCAUCUAAUUAAAUGGUUAAGCUUGUUUAUGUGCAAUGAAUCAUUGUACUUCAAAAUCAAAUCUCAAACCCCUAACUGGUCAGAAAUCCGUCGGAAAGUUCCAACAAAUUUUCGACUGCGUUUUUUGAAGAUUUUGGUUAGGCAUUCGUAUGCAAAAUAAUAUUUUAUGUUCCCGACGGAUUUCCGAGGGAUUUUUUUUGCCGUCGAAAAUCCGUCGGAAACGAAAAUAAAUAUUUCCCGCUGAGACGAAAAGCUAAGCGGCAAUAUAUGAUUUAUUAAUUUAAUUCUCAUAAAUGUUUUCCUUUUCUCUUUGGUUUUCACGCUUCUCCAUCUUUCCAAAAUGAGAACCCAAAAUUCUCUCUCAGAUCUCUCAAUUCUCACUCAAUCUCUCUAAGAUCCCUUAAAUCAUUCAAUAUCCCUCAAAUAUCUCUUAAUACUCUCACAAUUUCUUUCACAUCUCAACUCUCUCAAUCUCUCUCUGUCUCCCUCAAUCUCUCCACGUCUGUCUCCCUCAAUCUCUCCACGUCUCAUCUCAAACUCUCUACAGCCAUGUAAGUGAACCUUCUCUACCAAUUUCAAUUAGUGUUUUAGAUUUCGUUAAUUUUUGUUAUGAUUUGUUGAAAUUCUGGAUGUGUAGGUUGAUAGAUUUAUUUGUUAGUGAUAGGUUUAGGUUCAUAGAAUUAUAUUGUUUAUAGAAUUGAACAAAAUUUAGGAUGUUUGGAUUAAAACCUAAGAGGUUUAGGUUAUUAGAUUUGGAUUAAAAUUUCUGAAUUUUAGGCGUUUAGGUUAAAAGAUUUAUUAAACGAAAUUAAAAAAAUUACAUUUGUAAUAUAUUUUGAAAAUAUAGAACGUGGCUAGAAGUUAAUUUAGGAUAUAUUAAGAAUAUGCAAAAUCUAAUUUUUAAUAAUUAUGUAAACGAAUUUAUUUAUUUAUUUUGGUAUAUUAAGCUAAACGAUAUUAUAGAAAAUGGAUUUUAACAAAAGAAUGGUUAUAAUUAAUAAAUUUAGAAGUCUUUUGGAUUUCCCAUUUAAAAACAAAUUUUACUAAGAUAUCUAAAAGUUUUUUUGAAAUUAGAAACUUUGAUUUUAUUAAACUGUUUACUAAUAAUAUUAUUUUAUUUUGUAGGGGUUCUUACCAAGAUUUUCGCAGGUCCGAGGAUCGAUCGAAUAAUCAGGCGCACUCGACAACCCCAUCACCAUCGACCGUUCCCGAGUCGCAGCAGUCCACGGCUCGUCUACCAAUGACAGUUGAGGAGCUAGUCCAACAACCAGGGCGGACACUUCUUCGACGACUCCAUCCAAAAAGGCUCGAAAAAGGGAGCACAUGGUAAGUAAAUUUUGUUUUCCUGUUUUAAUAUAUACAUAUUUUAAAGUAGAAAUAAUAUUACUUCUCUAUAUUUGUAGGUUUGGUUAUACCAAAAAUGGCAUAUCCAAAUCCAUUUUACGGAUGUUGCACGGGAUGCUCAAACAUCCGUAUCCGACUUACAGUGAUAUGCCUAGCGACGAUCGAGAGCUUUGGUUCAGGACUUUCGCAGUAAUGCAUUUAUUAUUACGUACUUGAUUUUGUAUUUUUUUUAUACUACUAACAUAAUUCUUUUGGUUUGUAGCAUGAAUUCGAUUGGGAUACUGUCCACACACCCCUUGUCCGUGUCGCGUUUACAAAGUAUGCUUCAUUAAAAUAUUCAGGCCACAUGAAUGCAUGGAAAGAAAAGUGGGCGGAAGGCAAGGAGUGUCCAAAAGGCUUGAACCCAGACGUAUGGCCUGGCUUCAAACAGUAUUGGGGGUUGCCGGAUACUGCUCGUACCGCGGAAACCAACUCAAAAAACCGGAAGAGCCAACAAGGUGGCAAAGGUAUGGCGGUGCACAAUGCGGGUUCGACGAGCUUCUUAAGUCGUAUAGACGAAUUGGUAAGUCUUUUACUUUUAUUUGAUUUCAUGUUUUCUUUACAAUUUAACUUUUUUUUUUUUAUAUAUAGACGGAGAAAAACGGAGGUGUGGAACCUGAUUUUGUAGAAGUCAUUGAGGAUACACACACCAACAAGAAAACAGGAAAAAUUCAAGAUGAUUACAUCGCAGGCCUCGUUGAGACGUUGAAGAAAAGGAAGACGGAGUGCCUCACGCAGCUUUCUCAAAAUGAUGAUGGUUCCUCAUCAUCCAACGUCUUAGUCCGAGAAAAGAUCAACCGCAUGGUUCUUGAGGUAAGCUUUGUUUUAUAACUUAACAUUUUUUUGUAUACAUUUUAAAGUUUACUAACAAUUAUUAUAUACAAAUUCAGAAAAUUCCGCUAAAGCGGGUCGUGUGGUGGGCUUAGGUAGCCUAAACCAAAGCAACGGAUGUUCUUAUUCCGGUCCUUCACAGAAUUCCGAGAUCUUUGCAGAGCUUGAAGAAAAAGACAAGGAGAUCUUAGCAUUGAAAGAGCAAAACAAGAAGAUUCUUGACUUCAUGCGUUCAAAAUUUUCCGAUUUUCCCGAUGAUCUAUAAAUGCUUUUGUUUUAGUUUAAUUUUGUUGUAUUGGUAAACAAUCUUCUUUUCUUUUGUUGGAUAAUAUAUGCAUUUUUCAAAUAUUUAUUUAGUAAAAAAAUUUAUAUAUUUAUUUAGUAAAAUUUUCAAUAAAUAGUUUUUUAAAAAAUUUAAAAUUAAAAAAUUAUUUAAUUAGUGAUUAAAUAUGAUCCGUCGGUAAUCCGUCGGCUACUUAAACAUCGUCGGAAAUCCGUCAGUAAAAUACCGUCGGGAAUUCAUCGGGAAUCACUCCAUCAGUAAACUGUCGAACGUUGAUACCAACCGAUUCCCGACAAAGUUCCGAUGAAAUAACGGACAAUAGUUUUGGUUAGGAAACCGUCGGAAAGCAUCACCGACGGGUUUUCGACGGUCGGUUCCGACGAUUUUCCAACCGUUUACCCAAACGUAGCUAUUGUCCGAAAACCGUCGGGAACGAGUCGGAAAAGCUAUCGUCGGCAAUUUGAAACGAAUUUCCGACGCCUUUUAAAUUUCCGACGAGAUCGAACCGACCAAUCGAGUUCGUCGAAAAUCCGUCGGAAACAGCCAUUUCCGACGCCAUGCCGACGCCAUGUUACAGUUUGAUUCCUCUCUGCUAGUGUCAGAUAUUGAAACUGUAAGACUCAAAACAGAACACAAGAAACAGAGGAUAUAUGAAGAAUAAGAAGAACACAUGUAUCUUUAGUUACUAGCUAGUUAGCUAGGUUUUUUGUGAAGUUCUUUCCGUUUGCUUUUCGAUUUAUCUUCUUCUGCAAGUUAUUGCAAUUAGGCAUAACAAAGCCCAAAUGUGCUUCUUUGUUAUGAGCAAAUGUGUAAUCUUGGUGUAAAUGUUAGUGUUACUUAACAAAUCUUCACUUUCUACAAAAUCAAAUUUGAUGAAAUUUAAAUUGAGUUGAGACCAAAGAAACUUGUCCGUUGAGAGACGUUUUCAUAAAUUCUUCUAUUUGUGAAUUUUUAUAAGGUAGCUUAAGAGAAAACAAAAAUUUACUGUUUACAAAAAAAAAAGACUCACUGAUAUAGUUUCCGAAGAAAACAAAACAUAUGCAAAUUAUGUUACCAAAUACCAAUUAAUUUAUUGUUCACUUUUUAUAAAAAAAAAAAAAAGUAAAAAAAAAAGUAAGUGAAGAAAAACACAUUAAAGAAAAUAAAUAAUGAUAAUGUAUGAGAACAAUAUUUUAAGAAGAAUAAAAAAAUGAUUCUUUCUAAUGCAAAUUAUCUCUUUGGAUUUUUUUUUUUUAUAAUAAAAAUGAUGAACAUUUUCUAAAUUAUAAAUAUACACAACAAUUUCUAUGGAAUUGCCGGGGGCGAAUAAACCCAAUUUUCGACGAUCAAUACGUUACUUGCUCAAGAAGUUUGACACGGAUAUCCUCGCUCUCUUUGAAACUCACGCAGAAGGGGAGAGAGCGGGCAGGAUAUGCCAGCGGUUGGGCUUUGACAACUCGUACAGGGUGGAUGCGAAUGGCCAAAGCGGUGGUUUAUGGCUUCUGUGGCGAUCAAGAGUUGGGCAGGUCGCAAUUCUUGAAGCCUCAGACCAGUUCAUACAUGCAAAGGUGGGUGAUGGAGAGGAUUGUAUCCAUUUGGUGGCAGUCUAUGCAGCUCCAACGGUUAGUAGGAGAAGCGGUUUAUGGGGAAAGCUGCGGGAGCUCGUGAGGGACAUAAGGGAGCCAUUAAUCAUAGGAGGUGAUUUUAACACGAUUUUGCUGUUAGAUGAGAGGAUAGGGGUAAUGGAAGACUCUCACCCGACUCGCUUGCGUUUGGUGAAUGGAUAAAUGACCUAUCACUAAUAGAUAUGGGCUUUAAAGGAGGACCGUAUACAUGGAGACGGGGACGUAUGGAGAGUACAGUGGUUGCAAAAAGACUAGAUCGUGUUCUUUGUAACCCACAUGCUAGAUUGAAGUGGCAGGAGGCGGUGGUGACCCAUCUUCCUUUUUUAUCGUCGGAUCAUGUGCCGUUAUAUGUACAAUUAGAGCCGAAGAGUAAUUCUGACCCGAAGAGGAGACCUUUCCGAUUUGAGGCGGCGUGGUUGAGUCACAAGGGUUCAAAGAAUUGUUAAUGGCGUCUUGGGAUCCGUCAUUAGAAACUCCAAAAGCAUUGGAGGGGCUGCAGAGAACGUUAAAAAAAUGGAAUAGGGAGGUGUUUGGGGAUAUUAACACAAGGAAGGAGAAAUUGUUGGGAGAGAUCAAGGCGGUGCAGGACUUGUUGGUGGUAGCACAAACGGAUGAGCUCUUGGCGAAGGAGGCGGAGGUGUUGCAGAAUUUUGACGCCGUACUUGAGCAAGAAGAGACUCUCUGGUUUCAAAAAUCAAGAGAGAAAUUUAUUGCUCUGGGAGAUAGAAACACAACGUUUUUUCACACAUCAACGGUGAUUAGAAGGAGGAGGAACAGAAUUGAAAUGUUGAAAAAUAGUGAAGAGCUUUGGGUUUCAGAUAAGGAAGAGUUAGAGAGAAUGGCGCUGGAGUAUUAUCAACAAUUAUACUCGGUGGGAGGGCUAACCAUAGAGAGACCACAACUACCGAUGAAUGGUUUCUCAAAUUUAACUAGGGAGGAGAAGUUAAAGUUAGAGAAACCGUUCACGGAGGAGGAGGUAGUGGUGGCGGUGAAGAGCAUGGGGAAGUUCAAAGCACCGGGACCGGAUGGUUUUCAACCCGUGUUUUAUCAGGAGUGUUGGGAGAUUGUUGGGAUUUCGGUGAAAAGCUUUGUGUUGGGGUUCUUUGAAUCGGGAGUGUUGCCGACGGCUGCGAACGAUGCGUUGCUAGUAUUGCUGGCCAAGGUUGCGAAACCAGAAAAAAUAACUCAGUUUCGGCCCGUGAGUUUGUGCAAUGUUUUGUUCAAAGUGAUAACGAAGAUGAUGGUUAUUAGGCUGAAGAAUGUCAUCUCUAAGUUGAUUGGUCCCGCCCAAGCAAGCUUUAUACCGGGACGACUAAGUAUUGACAACAUAGUGGUGGUACAAGAGGCGGUACACUCUAUGCGUCGAAAAAAAGGACGGAAGAGGGUGGAUGCUCUUGAAGUUAGACCUUGAGAAAGCCUAUGAUAGAGUACGAUGGGAUUUCUUAGCGGAGACUUUGGAGGCUGCGGGUCUCUCGGAGGGAUGGAGGAGGAGGAUAAUGGAAUGUGUAUGCGAUCCAUCUAUGUGUAUAUUGUGGAAUGGGGAGAAGACGGAUGCGUUCAAACCGGAGAGAGGGCUAAGGCAGGGAGACCCUUUGUCGCCAUAUUUGUUUGUGUUGUGCUUGGAGAGGUUGUGUCACCUUAUUGAAGUAGCGGUCGGGAAAGGGGAGUGGAAGCCAAUCGGGUUAUCGCAAGGAGGUCCGAAAGUCUCACAUAUAUGCUUCGCGGACGAUUUAAUUCUGUUUGCGGAGGCGUCGGUGGCUCAAGUGCGGGUAAUAAGGAAGGUACUAGACACUUUUUGUAUGGCGUCGGGUCAAAAAGUGAGUCUAGAGAAGUCUAAAAUAUUUUUUUCGGCGAACGUAAGCAGAGAUAUGGAAAGAUUGAUCACUGAAGAGAGUGGGAUUGGAUCCACACGGGAACUUGGGAAGUAUCUUGGGAUGCCAAUCUUGCAAAAGAGGAUCAAUAAGGAUACAUUUGGCGAAGUUCUUGAGCGUGUGUCCGCAAGAUUGGCGGGUUGGAAGAGUAAGACUUUGAGCUU